Synechococcus sp. JA-2-3B'a(2-13) is the source of this 83-nucleotide transfer RNA. It matches the Rfam family "tRNA". Rfam says of the family: Transfer RNA (tRNA) molecules are approximately 80 nucleotides in length. Their secondary structure includes four short double-helical elements and three loops (D, anti-codon, and T loops). Lineage: Bacteria; Bacillati; Cyanobacteriota; Cyanophyceae; Synechococcales; Synechococcaceae. The record is from Rfam.
GCGGAACUGGCGGAAUGGUAGACGCGCUAGAUUCAGGUUCUAGUGGCAGCAAUGCCAUCGGGGUUCAAGUCCCCGGUUCCGCA